AGGCUGAGAGGAAAGGGCUGGGAGCCGGGAGGCAGCUUGUCCUCCCGCGAGCCUGCAAGGAUGCUGCAGGGGACUGAGACCAUGGGGAGGUGCUAACUUCCUCUCCAACCCCCCAGCCCGGGAUCCGGGCUGGCAUACCCGGCCCCCCGGGGUAGUUUCCUGCCAAGCUCAACCAAGAAUCCAAAGGCGACUUGGAGGGCAUAAAAAGAAAAACACUGGUUCUGAAGAGGGGCCCCCACCUCCAGAGCCGGUUCCUCGGCAAACGCGCGGAAGGUAGGAGGAAGGGGAUCAGAUACUGGAGACUGUACGCCAAAACCCCAGCCUGAAGACUCGCUCCAGAGCCUCCCUGAAGACCUGGGCGAUCUGCGCCAUCAUCUUCAAUGCCUCUCUGAAAAUCAUUUAGCAAGAGUGAGAGAAAGAGAGGAGAGCGCGCACCAGGGAGAGGAGCAAAGAAGAUGAGGAUUAUUUGCAGGCAGAUUGUCUUGUUGUUUUCUGGAUUUUGGGGACUCGCCAUGGGAGCCUUUCCGAGCAGCGUUCAAAUAGGUGGUCUCUUUAUCCGAAACACAGACCAGGAAUACACUGCUUUUCGGCUAGCUAUCUUUCUUCAUAACACCAGCCCCAAUGCAUCUGAAGCCCCUUUCAAUUUGGUACCUCAUGUGGACAACAUUGAGACUGCCAACAGUUUUGCUGUGACAAAUGCAUUCUGUUCCCAGUAUUCUAGAGGGGUGUUUGCCAUUUUUGGACUCUAUGACAAGAGGUCAGUGCAUACCUUGACCUCCUUCUGCAGUGCUCUGCACAUCUCUCUCAUCACACCAAGCUUCCCCACUGAAGGAGAGAGCCAGUUCGUGCUUCAGCUAAGACCUUCAUUGAGAGGUGCACUCCUGAGCCUCCUGGAUCACUAUGAAUGGAAUUGUUUUGUCUUCCUGUAUGAUACAGACAGGGGGUAUUCAAUACUUCAAGCUAUAAUGGAAAAAGCAGGACAGAAUGGAUGGCAUGUCAGUGCGAUAUGUGUGGAAAAUUUUAACGAUGUCAGCUACAGGCAACUACUAGAAGAGCUUGACAGAAGACAAGAGAAGAAAUUUGUAAUAGAUUGUGAGAUAGAAAGGCUUCAAAACAUAUUAGAACAAAUUGUGAGUGUUGGGAAGCACGUCAAAGGCUACCAUUAUAUCAUCGCAAAUUUGGGUUUCAAAGAUAUUUCUCUUGAGAGAUUUAUACAUGGAGGAGCAAAUGUCACUGGAUUCCAGUUAGUAGAUUUUAAUACGCCCAUGGUGACGAAACUAAUGGAUCGCUGGAAGAAACUAGAUCAACGAGAAUAUCCAGGAUCUGAAACACCUCCAAAGUACACUUCUGCUCUCACUUACGAUGGUGUCUUGGUAAUGGCUGAAACUUUCCGAAGUCUCAGAAGACAGAAAAUUGAUAUUUCAAGGAGAGGAAAUGCCGGGGAUUGUCUGGCAAACCCUGCUGCUCCCUGGGGCCAGGGAAUUGACAUGGAGAGAACACUGAAGCAGGUUCGAAUUCAAGGACUGACUGGGAAUGUUCAAUUUGACCACUAUGGACGUAGAGUUAAUUACACAAUGGAUGUGUUUGAAUUAAAAAGCACAGGACCUCGAAAGGUUGGCUAUUGGAACGAUAUGGAUAAAUUAGUCUUGAUUCAAGAUGCGCCUACUCUUGGCAAUGACACAGCAGCUAUCGAGAACAGAACAGUGGUUGUAACCACAAUUAUGGAAUCCCCCUACGUUAUGUACAAGAAAAAUCAUGAAAUGUUUGAAGGAAAUGACAAGUAUGAAGGCUACUGUGUAGACUUGGCAUCUGAAAUUGCGAAACAUAUCGGUAUCAAAUAUAAAAUUGCCAUUGUCCCUGAUGGAAAAUAUGGAGCAAGGGAUGCGGACACCAAAAUUUGGAAUGGGAUGGUAGGAGAGCUUGUGUAUGGGAAAGCAGAGAUUGCCAUUGCACCUCUGACAAUCACGUUGGUGCGAGAGGAGGUCAUCGACUUUUCUAAGCCUUUUAUGAGUUUAGGCAUCUCUAUCAUGAUCAAAAAACCUCAGAAAUCUAAACCAGGAGUGUUUUCCUUCUUGGACCCUCUGGCCUAUGAGAUCUGGAUGUGCAUAGUGUUUGCAUACAUUGGUGUCAGCGUGGUCUUGUUCCUAGUCAGUAGGUUUAGCCCAUAUGAGUGGCACACAGAAGAGCCUGAGGAUGGAAAAGAAGGACCCAGUGACCAACCUCCCAAUGAGUUUGGCAUCUUUAACAGCCUCUGGUUUUCCCUGGGUGCCUUUAUGCAACAAGGAUGUGACAUUUCACCCAGAUCCCUGUCCGGUCGGAUUGUUGGAGGCGUAUGGUGGUUCUUCACUCUCAUCAUUAUCUCAUCCUACACUGCUAAUCUGGCUGCAUUCCUGACAGUGGAGAGAAUGGUCUCCCCCAUAGAAAGUGCAGAAGACCUGGCCAAACAAACAGAAAUUGCCUAUGGAACACUUGAUUCGGGAUCAACAAAAGAAUUCUUCAGAAGAUCAAAAAUAGCAGUAUAUGAAAAGAUGUGGACCUACAUGCGAUCGGCAGAGCCAUCUGUGUUCACUAGAACUACAGCUGAGGGCGUGGCCCGUGUCCGCAAGUCCAAGGGCAAAUUUGCCUUCCUCCUGGAGUCCACGAUGAAUGAAUACAUUGAGCAGCGAAAGCCCUGUGACACGAUGAAAGUGGGAGGAAACCUGGAUUCCAAAGGCUAUGGUGUAGCGACGCCCAAGGGUUCCUCAUUAAGACACACAGAAGCAUGCAAAUCCCCCUGGUGAUGUACUUAAAUGUUUCCCACUUCUCUAUAGUAAUACUGGUGUUUACUGAGGAGGACAGAGGAGAACUAACCAGCUCCAGGAUUAAGAAAUGCUGUUAACCUCGCAGUUUUAAAACUGAAUGAACAAGGCCUCUUGGACAAAUUGAAAAACAAAUGGUGGUACGACAAAGGAGAAUGUGGCAGCGGGGGAGGUGACUCCAAGGACAAGACGAGUGCCUUGAGCCUGAGCAACGUAGCAGGCGUCUUCUACAUUCUGGUUGGCGGCUUGGGCUUGGCAAUGCUGGUGGCUUUGAUAGAGUUCUGUUACAAGUCCAGGGCAGAGGCGAAGAGAAUGAAGGUGGCAAAGAGUGCACAGACUUUUAACCCAACUUCCUCGCAGAAUACCCACAAUUUAGCAACCUAUAGAGAAGGUUACAACGUAUAUGGAACCGAAAGUAUUAAAAUUUAGGGCUGACUUUUUCCGAAGCCAUAAGAAACAAAGCCAGGUUAUCCAUCACUGGGAGUGUGGGAGAAAACGGCCGUGUGCUGACCCCCGACUGCCCCAAGGCCGUACACACAGGAACUGCGAUUAGACAGAGCUCGGGAUUGGCUGUCAUUGCAUCGGACCUACCAUAAAAACCAAAAAAUUAAUUGAGUGCCUUAAUCAAACUGUGUUGGUGACUGAUGGAAACGCAGCCCCGAGGGACAGGCCAAGCGUGGGUCUUGGCUAAACCCAUCCUUUGACUGAGCAGGAAGGACAUCCUGAGUGCCGGACAGAACCAGUGCAUGAGUUCCGCACGGAAAUGCAGACUCGGAUUUUUUUAUCAGGAAAUCUCACAGUUUAGUUUUUUGGGGGGAGUGGGUGGGGUACCUUAGGUGUAUUAACAGCAACAGAUCUCACUUGAGCGCACUUAAAACUAAUCAGACUGGCCAGUUAGCGCAUUAAACUGUGAAGUUCUUUCUCAGAAAGGUCGUGGUCACCACAGCCAGGGAUCAACAGUUAAUAGAGGUCAAAGAACCUGCUACCUGUGUCUCCAGAACACCCAUAUAGUCCAUGGAAUAAUCUUCCGCUGAGACAAGCCGUCACUAACAUGUGAUAGGAAAAUAAUAAAUAGAUAAAGCCUGUGAACAAACAAUGAGAUUUAAAGAAAGUAUUUACAGUUACUUUGGAAAUAAAACAAUACUGAAACAUGCUUGCUUUUUAACUGAAGUUAAUCCAGUAGAGGACAACGCAAUUGUUUUUUCUAACCAUCUUAGGGAACAAUACAUUGCAAUAAUUGAUAAUAGUGCCAUCACUGUAAUAAACUUUAGAGACUUUUUUUAAUGUAAAAGUUGUUGGUCACCUUGUUUCCUGUAACCUUCACUCUGUCACACAAGUUGGCUCAUAGGUUGUGUUUGUCUAUCAGAAAUAAGAAAAACACAAGUGAAGAAAAUGUUGGCAUGAAGUCAUCCAUCUGCAAUGAAAAACCUAAAAGACUACGGGUCACUCAUGUUAUCAAUAUAAUUUAUAAUCCUGUUCAGUGUACAAAAUUGUGGGUUUUGUACUCACCCAAAAGACUAAAACACCAGUUUUUCUUACAGUAUCUAUCUACAGAGCUUAUUCUCCCCUAUUAUUUGGGAAACUCUGAGACUCCAUAUUGCAGAAGUCAAGGAAUAGGCCAUAUAAGAAAAUGUAGCUUGUUUUUAUUAUUUCUGCAUAUUUAUUUCUAGAUCUUGGGCUCAUUUGUUAACAGAAUAAGUUGUCAAAGGUAAAGUCCUUGAGUCUGGGAAUGAGCCAUCGUUCCAAAACCAACACACCCUGUGUGGAAAUUUUACUUGACUCUGUUUUGCUGCAUAGAAUUCAGUGUCUCUUGGCCAUUCCCCCUCAUUCCUAUACUAAAUUCUUUGAAGACACUGGUAACAGUUUGUGGUAGACUACAGUUGAAAAAACUCAAUCCUUAUUUCUACCAAGUAAUUGUGAGUAAAAUUAUACCAUGAUCAUUUUUAAGAAAAGAAAACCCUUAUGGUUCAAAAGGUCUGGUUCAUUUGAAAUGAUGAAUGAGUUCAAUGAUACAGUUUUUAAAAAACCAAAACAAACAAACAAACAAAAACAAAUCACAGAUUGAGGGAUCUUUGCAGAAAGCACAAAUUAGGAUGAUGCCCAAAGUGUGGCCUUGAAGAAUGAGUUGAGUUUUCACAGGAGAAGGUGCUGGUAAGAUCCUAGGCGUGAGCAGCACACAUAGCUGCUUCUUUUAUCAGUGUUUCAUGUACAAGGCUUGUGCAACCAGGUGGCCUGGUGAGGGCACAGGGUGUGACACCAUGGAAGCUCUGUCAGAAAUAUGGAGAAUUGGUUUCCUUCCCUCAAUACUUACAAUCCCAUUCAAUAACUGUGUGUCACUACAAUGUAAUCCUUAUAAUACAUGUAUGCACUGUCCUUUGGGAAAGGUUACUUCUCUGUUGUUGAGCAAUGAUUCAUUUCACAACCUAGGCCACUCCCUGGUAUCUUCCUCUUCCUCUCUCACUCCUACCCAAGCUCUCAGCCAGCAAAUGGACCUCCACAGCACACGGAACACGGCAUCUACUGUGUCUUUGAUCUGUAGAUCUUUUUUGUCUUUACCUGACUGUCACACAUCCUUCAGCCCUGAAAUUGAAUUUUAUGUGUACUGAGAAGAUUUCCAUGAUUACCCACCACCCUGCCCAUGACACUGAGUUACCUGCCAUUCUUAAUGUUUCUUACCCAUCAUGGCACUCAUCGUACUGCAUUGUAAUUGCCUGUGUACUUGUCUAUAAACUACUAGACUGUCAGCUCCUUGAGGGCAGGGACUGUGUCUAUUUUGUUCACAGUUGUAUCCCCAGCACCCAGCACAGUGCCUGGCAUAUUGUAGGUGCUUAAUAAAUAUUUGUUGAAUGAAAGAA
Molecule: RNA transcript, 5653 nt
Organism: Mus musculus (house mouse)
Lineage: Eukaryota; Metazoa; Chordata; Mammalia; Rodentia; Muridae
Gene: Gria4
Gene name: glutamate receptor, ionotropic, AMPA4 (alpha 4)
Exons: 19
Source: RefSeq, marked reviewed